RNAcentral lists this long non-coding RNA (551 nucleotides) under Equus caballus (horse). RNAcentral's name for it is "lncRNA (ENSECAG00000056880.1)". The record is from RNAcentral. Lineage: Eukaryota; Metazoa; Chordata; Mammalia; Perissodactyla; Equidae.
UGAUCUGAUCCAGCUCCAGCAGGGAAGACAGCCUGCCCUAGAGACAGGCCCCAUGCACUAGUAAGCCCUCUGGCAACUUGUGGGCCUGCAUAGAUAGAGUGUAUGGGACCUCUGCAGUGGAACACUCCUGUUUGGACUCCAGCCACCAUGCUGUGAGGAAGCCCAAGCAACCAAGACAGCCUACAGGGAGUUGAACCAAGAGGCAGCUCCUCUUUCUCUGUCUGAUGCAGUGGCCCUGCCUGCUAGAACAACUAACACAGGCAUCGUCUAACGUAGUUACCGUCGAGGAACACCAAUUAUUCCCUUGACUCAAUGUACUACCUCUCACAGGAUCCAGCCUAAAACUAGAGUCAGAUCUCAACACACCCUGGGGCAUCAUUUACAGAGUCAACCAGAAAGAGGGGGUACACUGAAAGAAGUGGAAGAUUUCUCUAAAUUAUUUCAGCAAAACUUGGGAAACAUAUGUGAGAAGAUCAUGAUUAAAGAGGGAGUAACAUAAUUCUGAGUGAGGCUGAAUUUAGUGGAAUGUUUAUUUACCAGAGAUUCUAAAA